GGGAAUCUUCCACAAUGGGCGCAAGCCUGAACGAGCGAUGCCGCGUGAGUGAAGAAGGCCUUCGGGUCGUAAAGCUCUGUUGCGGGGGAAAAAAGGCAGCAUCAGGAAAUGGGUGCUGACUGAUGGUGCCCCGCCAGAAAGUCACGGCUAACUACGUGCCAGCAGCCGCGGUAAUACGUAGGUGGCAAGCGUUAUCCGGAUUUAUUGGGCGUAAAGGGAACGCAGGCGGUCUUUUAAGUCUGAUGUGAAAGCCUUCGGCUUAACCGGAGUAGUGCAUUGGAAACUGGGAGACUUGAGUGCAGAAGAGGAGAGUGGAACUCCAUGUGUAGCGGUGAAAUGCGUAGAUAUAUGGAAGAACACCAGUGGCGAAAGCGGCUCUCUGGUCUGUAACUGACGCUGAGGCUCGAAAGCGUGGGGAGCA
Molecule: ribosomal RNA, 421 nt
Filed under: uncultured bacterium
Lineage: Bacteria
Description: bacterial SSU rRNA
Rfam family: Bacterial small subunit ribosomal RNA
Source: RNAcentral